UCCUCGGUAGUAUAGUGGCAGUAUCCCCGCCCGUCACGCGGGAGACGGGUUUCGAUUCCGCCGGAGAG
Non-coding RNA from Araneus ventricosus, 68 nucleotides. The record is from the annotation of a GenBank genome assembly. Lineage: Eukaryota; Metazoa; Arthropoda; Arachnida; Araneae; Araneidae.